CGAUCGACACCAUCGGCGAUUUCUGGUAUCAGGUUUCCAUGUUCAUCUAUUUUCUGACCCUCUUCGUUGUAUGCCUGACCAGCUCUAUCGCGUAACACAACAGCCACAUCAUGUAUUACUAUCAGCAUCUUGAGUUGCGUUUGAAUUCCUUAAACUCCUGAAACACAAGAAGAAGAACAAAUAAAAACGCGUGAGUAACAAAAGAAAAGAAAAGCUUAGACUAAAUUCUACACCUUAUCUAAUGGUGAAUCGAAGAGAACUUCGGCAACGGCGCCAAAUUUGAUAUUGGUCAAAUUAAUCCUAAGACCACUCUCUCAAAUAAGAGAUCGAUUGUAGUACUUUAUGGUCGACUUCCGCAAAGUUCUCGGAUCACACCAUAGAUUAACAGUUACGAAUAAAGCUAAACAGAAAUAUAAUAAAAGUAAAAGACAAGAAAGCAAUAAAGAGAUUGCUUGUAGAUUCAGAUGAUGAAGAUGUCGGGUUUAGGAAAAUUCUCAGGAAAUAUCAUAAUAGUAGAUCUAGCAGUAAAUUAGGAUUAUUAUUGAACCAUUCUAGAACACAAAUAACUAAUAUAAAGUAACCGGUGGCAUUCCGCGAAACUCACUAUGCUUAAUAGUAUUGAUCCCAGCUCUCUUGUAAAUCCCUAGAACUAAGCAAGCAUUAUAAUCA
RNAcentral lists this small RNA (669 nucleotides) under Arabidopsis thaliana (thale cress). RNAcentral describes it as "ATSL275920". Lineage: Eukaryota; Viridiplantae; Streptophyta; Magnoliopsida; Brassicales; Brassicaceae. The record is from RNAcentral.